UGAUGGCCUGGCUUUCGCGGCCGGCUGAAGUUUUUUUUCACCCAUGUCUUUUGCGCACUUGUUGUUUCCUGGGCGGGUUCGCCCGCCACCAGGACCAAACCAUAAACCUUUUUUUCUUAUGCAGUUUCCAUCAGCGUCAGUAAAAACAAUGUAAUUAUUACAACUUUCAACAACGGAUCUCUUGGUUCUGGCAUCGAUGAAGAACGCAGCGAAAUGCGAUACGUAGUGUGAAUUGCAGAAUUCAGUGAAUCAUCGAAUCUUUGAACGCACAUUGCGCCCUUUGGUAUUCCAAAGGGCAUGCCUGUUCGAGCGUCAUUUGUACCUUCAAGCUUUGCUUGGUGUUGGGCGUUUUUUUGUCUCCCUCUUUCUGGGAGACUCGCCUUAAAACGAUUGGCAGCCGGCCUACUGGUUUCGGAGCGCAGCACAUUUUUUGCGCUUUGUAUCAGGAGAAAAGGACGGUACUCCAUCAAGACUCUACAUUUUUCACUUUUGACCUCGGAUCAGGUAGGGAUACCCGCUGAACUUAAGCAUAUCAAUAAGCGGAGGAAA
Molecule: ribosomal RNA, 549 nt
Filed under: Bipolaris oryzae
Lineage: Eukaryota; Fungi; Ascomycota; Dothideomycetes; Pleosporales; Pleosporaceae
Description: eukaryotic LSU rRNA
Rfam family: 5.8S ribosomal RNA (bases 162-315)
Source: RNAcentral